AGGUUCCCAAUGUUAGAAGUUCCAAGAGGACAUCGGCUGACACGGCAGAAUCCGCCUUCCCGAUUACACUGUGGUUGGGCAUUCCCUAUGAAAAGAAAAAGAGGAGACAGUUUAGCCAUCUCUGCUAACUCCAUCAGCUUUUGUAACCGUUCAUCCAAGAUGGGAAUGGAAGCAUCCUUCCAGGAAUUGCAAGUUUCCUGGGACUACAGCAAGUUUUCUCUGACCACACAGAUCCAUCUCUGCUGAUCUCCUGCAGCAGCUCAAAUAAAUCAGCCAUUAACCCAGGUUUGAAGUCUGACUCAAAGAUGAAUUAGCUGUAUUGCCAUGGAUCCUUGCUGAGUUACAGUGGCCAGUUGCAUUGUGUGUUUGGAUGAAGACCUUGAGUGAGCUGAGAAUUUGGUAAACCAAUGUUAAAGUGAAGCAAAUCAACAAAAAUAAGCUACAAUAACAAAAACCCCAACAAAGUUCUUUCAAGAAUUGUGAAUCAAAAGAAAAAUCAAUGGCAUAUUUUUCAAAUCUUUGGAGGCUCAUAUUGUCAAUAGUCUAUACUGUUCAAAGCUAUUUCUGUAAAGUAAAACAAAAAGAUG
Crotalus tigris (Tiger rattlesnake) is the source of this 587-nucleotide long non-coding RNA. RefSeq lists it as uncharacterized. The transcript has 3 exons. The record is from RefSeq and is a predicted model, not a curated record. NCBI's taxonomy places the organism in Eukaryota, Metazoa, Chordata, Lepidosauria, Squamata, Viperidae.